CAGUCGCCGCGGUAAUACGAAGGGUGCAAGCGUUAAUCGGAAUUACUGGGCGUAAAGCGUGCGCAGGCGGUUCGUUAAGACAGAUGUGAAAUCCCCGGGCUUAACCUGGGAACUGCAUUUGUGACUGGCGAGCUAGAGUAUGGCAGAGGGGGGUAGAAUUCCACGUGUAGCAGUGAAAUGCGUAGAGAUGUGGAGGAAUACCGAUGGCGAAGGCAGCCCCCUGGGCCUGUACUGACGCUCAUGCACGAAAGCGUGGGGAGCAAACAGGAUUAGAUACCCGCGUAGUCCCUGUCUCUUAUAC
This 301-nucleotide ribosomal RNA is filed under the name uncultured bacterium. Its description in RNAcentral is "partial 16S ribosomal RNA". It matches the Rfam family "Bacterial small subunit ribosomal RNA", at positions 509 to 807 of the family's 1533-position model. The record is from RNAcentral.